This is an RNA transcript of Brassica rapa (field mustard), 612 nucleotides long. RefSeq lists it as uncharacterized. The record is from RefSeq and is a predicted model, not a curated record. Lineage: Eukaryota; Viridiplantae; Streptophyta; Magnoliopsida; Brassicales; Brassicaceae.
GGAAGCUUUGAUUAUCGUCUUUGAUGGCGAAGGAGCAAAUCUUGAGGCCUUGGUUUCUGGAUCUCGUACCGGCUUUGGUUAUCUUGCUCGCCGCAGCUCAUGUCAUCGCCUUGGGUUACUGGAUUUACAGAUUGGCGACUGAUCGUCGUGCUCAGAGUCAGAGAGGAAAGUUUCACUGAGGAAACAGUCGAGAGUAGGUUUCGUAAGCUGCAUAGUUCCAUAAACUGGCGGGGUAUCCUUCAGUGGUGUUUCACAAAUAGUCUGCGGGUAAGGCCAAUAUAGAUGUUUCUCCAGUUGUGUUCAUCAAGACAGAGUUGUAGUCUAAUCUCUAUAGUUACUGACAUUUAAGGAUCCCGCUGCAAGAUGUAACCAUGAGUGGAAAACUGUCUUGGAAAACCAUUUUAUAUUUGCUGUGUAGUCAUCAUUUAAAUAACUACAUAUCAAAUCAUGACAGGUUUAGGAGAGCUAAUUAACUUCACACAAAAACCAAACCUUUUCCUUGGUGUGCUUAUAAAUUCAUGUUCAUUAAAUUUUCCUUUGUCCUGUUUAUUUCCUUUUGUAGAAUGUAGUUUUUUUAAUUUUAAAUGCGUCAUGCGUGAGGUUUAUGAUUCA